This 274-nucleotide ribosomal RNA is filed under the name uncultured bacterium. Its description in RNAcentral is "partial 16S ribosomal RNA". It matches the Rfam family "Bacterial small subunit ribosomal RNA", at positions 523 to 796 of the family's 1533-position model. The record is from RNAcentral.
AUACGGAGGGGGCUAGCGUUGUUCGGAAUUACUGGGCGUAAAGCGCACGUAGGCGGACUGAUCAGUUGGGGGUGAAAUCCCAGGGCUCAACCCUGGAACUGCCUCCAAUACUGUCAGUCUUGAGAUCGGAAGAGGUGAGUGGAAUUCCUAGUGUAGAGGUGAAAUUCGUAGAUAUUAGGAGGAACACCAGUGGCGAAGGCGGCUCACUGGUCCGAUACUGACGCUGAGGUGCGAAAGCGAGGGGAGCAAACAGGAUUAGAAACCCGAGUAGUCC